UCUAGGCUCCGGGGCAUUUCCUUGUUUGUCCAGUGUCCCGACCGCAUGUCGGUCGGGACGCGGGACAAACAAGGAAAUAUCGGGACAGUCCCGAUAAAAUCGGGACGUCUGGUCACCCUACAUGGCACUCAGUUUAUCUUCCUCAGAGAAUAAAAGACAGAAUUGACCAGAACUUGAAUCGGUGACUUCAGGGAUCCCAUGAAUUACAUAACUGAGGUUUAGACCACUAAGCCACCCUCUCUGGCCACACACACCUAUCAUUAUAUACAAUACCACAAUAUGAUCACUAAAAGAGAGACUGCCAUUAACUUUAGCUGCCAUUUAAAUAAAAGGCCUGGCAAAGCACAGAAUUCUCUUUCAGCCAUAAGGGAAUUAAAAAUUGCUCACCACAAAGUAUAUUUCUCCACUCAUGUGGCUUUCAAGGGGUUCCUACUGAACAACCCAGUUUGAAUCAGGAUCCUAAAUUCUGAUGGAAGUUAAACAUUGCCAUUGGGACAUAAGGGAAGUGAAACAUGGUGUUGACGUGAGUCCAGUUCUCCAUGUUGGAACCAUGCAGGAGCCAUGCUUUGAGGUGGAGCUUCUCUGGAUUCGGAUGGAGUGUUCGGCCCCUGUUCUAUGACAGAAGAUCCAUCCGCAGAGGAAGUGUUUGUGGAGCACAGAUUGCCAGGCGCGACAGAGGCAGCACUACCACUGAGCUCCAUCUGCAGCCGAGGACAGUUGAGAAGGAACUGAAAGGGUUGGGUCAUGCACAUGCUACAAGAGGUGCCAAUGGUACCUUGAGACAUUUACUGCGUACGCGCACCCCGACCGAGCACUGCUACCCAAAAUCUCUGAUCUCCGGCACAGGGACUCACCGACACCUAAAGUCAAGCACCUACAGGGACACUACUUGAAGAAGAAUCAUUAAGUUCCUAAAAUCUAGAACAUAUAAGAUGAAGUCAAAGGAAGAAAUGAGUUGACUUGCUAUACAGUUCUAGACUUCGCAUUUGUAAAAUCAAGCCAACCCUAAUGUCCUUCUUUUAGGAUGAAGAAGUCUCUUGGGACUUGGUUCUAAUGUGUGCAUAUGUGCAUAUCUGCAGAAAUGGAUUCCUCAAGCUGCCCAGAGAUGGAUGCAGAUUGGAAUCCAGCAUUAGUAUGGUAAAUAUACAUCCCUGCUAUCACUUGACCAGCUGAAGUGAACAAGAGUUAAUAUCCCUAUAUACACAAUAGUGUGAAGGAAAACAUUUGACUGGAGAAUGCAGUAGGUAGAGACCCAAACAAGGAAUGUAGAGACAGAGAAGAUGUUAUAAUUAUCACAAACUCCCACUGCUUCACCUCCACACUCUGCUGCUCUCUGGCACCGUCAAAUUGGUUCCUCUUUGAUAAGAGACCUUUGACGAAACAGUUAUGUCUUACAUGACAAACUUGGCAGCAUUAAUGUGUCAUUCAUCUGUAGAAUAUUAGAAACAAGUGAGAAAGGGAGGGAAUGUUUUAUCACCUGCAAGGCAAUAUGAAAUUAAACAAGUUACAGUCAUAUGUUGGCACCCUAACAACAUAAGUGUUCAUAUGUUAAAAGAUGCACUGGAAUCCAAAAGUGUAUUUUAUCAUUAUUUUUAAAAAACAUGCCUUUGGCAUAGUCUCCUGGUCCAUUUAUAUUACAAAAUUAAACAGAAUUUAACACUGUGGUGCUAACAGCAGGCUGCAAUAAACACCCCCCCACACACAUUGUAAAAAUGUAGGGAAAACAGUAACAUCUCAGCCUGUUACCUAAGCAAUUCUAAACAAAACACCCAUCACAGCUAAUCUGCCUCAGGCAAAAGCCCGAGCCAACAGAUGGAUUUCCUCAGCAACCCUCCUGUGUCUUGGCAGAAUUUGGUGAAAAUAAUACUUGUUGUAAUGUUUAUUCAAUACAUAAGCUAAUGAAACUCACACAUAUGUAGUUACUUUCACGCAAAAACAAUUUACUAACAAACUACCCUCAGACUAUCCUAAAAACUAUCCUAAAAACUGUGGACACUGGGGUUAAUAGCUGUGCUCUUGUGAAAAGGACCUUUAAUUAAUACACAGAGUAUGCUUCACUUUUAUAUCUCAUCCAUAAGACAGCACCUCCUAUAGCAGUGUUACAUUACACCAUGCUAGAGGGAAGAUUGCCACCUACUUAACUAUUAAUACUAGUUCCUAGAGCAAAGAGAUGUUCAGUGAAUGUCUUUCAUCCACAUACUAACCCAACCUAAUGCCCCUUACCUCAUGAUAUUUGAUAGGAUCAAAGCACAAGGUGACAUGGAAGUAGAUAUGAAGUGAGUGAGAUAGUUCAUUAUAAACAUAGUGAUUGAAAUCAGAGCAUUUAAUAAUAUUGACUGUGUCUGUGUUGUCACAUAUUUUUUAAUUCCUGCAGACCUAUCUCACAAGGAAUGAUUGUGCUGUCAAUUUACUCACAUUUUCGAUCAAUAAUUUCUAUUAGUGUCAUGUACAGAACAGAAACUGAUCAUAUACAAUAGUAUACAACGUUGUGGCAUAUGGAAACAGAAAGGAAUUAUAUAACACCUUGACUGAAACCAGUGAUUUUACCAUCAUUUUAUCAGUAAACUGAUGCUUGAGAUGUGGGUGUUAUGGGAAGGGGGAACUAUUUUCCUUUUGGAAGACAGGAGUAGUAUGGUGGUACUUUCCAAUUUUCACAGCUCUGUAAUUCCCUGACCAGGGCGUUAGAGGUUAUAUUCAUUUAUAACAGUCAUCAUCAUGAUCAAACAGAGUCUGCUCUCUAACAGGCCUAACGGCUCUUCUCCUCUUCACAGCAAAUACUUUGGUGGAGUUAAACCCUGUUUAUGGGAAGAGUGUAAAUUAGAACCAAGCUGCAUCAUGUUACAAAACUGCAUUUCUGGAAUAUUUCCUUGGCUUUGGUUCAUGUGAAGCAGCUCACAUUGCUCCUCAAAGCUGGAAACAGCUUGCACAACAAGGUCUUUAGGAAUCAGACAAACAAUAGUCAUAAACUAGAGGGUUGUACACUUCAUUGUUUCUAUAGGCCAAGCUCACCGCACA
Molecule: long non-coding RNA, 3015 nt
Organism: Malaclemys terrapin pileata
Lineage: Eukaryota; Metazoa; Chordata; Testudines; Emydidae
Exons: 3
Source: RefSeq, a predicted model, not a curated record